GAGUUUGAUUAUGGCUCAGAUUGAACGCUGGCGGCAUGCUUUACACAUGCAAGUCGGACGGCAGCACAGAGAAGCUUGCUUCUUGGGUGGCGAGUGGCGAACGGGUGAGUAACGCAUCGGAACGUACCGAGUAGUGGGGGAUAACUGUCCGAAAGGAUGGCUAAUACCGCAUACGCUUUGAGAAGGAAAGCGGGGGAUCUUCGGACCUCGCGCUAUUCGAGCGGCCGAUGUCUGAUUAGCUAGUUGGUGGGGUAAAGGCCUACCAAGGCGACGAUCAGUAGCGGGUCUGAGAGGAUGAUCCGCCACACUGGGACUGAGACACGGCCCAGACUCCUACGGGAGGCAGCAGUGGGGAAUUUUGGACAAUGGGCGCAAGCCUGAUCCAGCCAUGCCGCGUGUCUGAAGAAGGCCUUCGGGUUGUAAAGGACUUUUGUCAGGGAAGAAAAGCUUUGGGUUAAUACCCUGGAGUGA
Molecule: ribosomal RNA, 471 nt
Filed under: Neisseria shayeganii
Lineage: Bacteria; Pseudomonadati; Pseudomonadota; Betaproteobacteria; Neisseriales; Neisseriaceae
Description: bacterial SSU rRNA
Rfam family: Bacterial small subunit ribosomal RNA
Source: RNAcentral